This 505-nucleotide ribosomal RNA is filed under the name uncultured bacterium. RNAcentral's name for it is "partial 16S ribosomal RNA". It matches the Rfam family "Bacterial small subunit ribosomal RNA", at positions 28 to 507 of the family's 1533-position model. The record is from RNAcentral.
GACGAACGCUGGCGGCGUGCCUAAUACAUGCAAGUAGAACGCACAGUUUAUACCGUAGCUUGCUACACCAUAGACUGUGAGUUGCGAACGGGUGAGUAACGCGUAGGUAACCUGCCUGGUAGCUGGGGAUAACUAUUGGAAACGAUAGCUAAUACCUCAUAAUAUUAAUUAUUGCAUGAUAAUUAAUUGAAAGGUGCAAUUGCACCACUACCAGAUGGACCUGCGUUGUAUUAGUUAGUAGGUGAGGUAACGGCUCACCUAGGCGACGAUACAUAGCCGACCUGAGAGGGUGAUCGGCCACACUGGGACUGAGACACGGCCCAGACUCCUACGGGAGGCAGCAGUAGGGAGUCUUCGGCAAUGGACGAAAGUCUGACCGAGCAACGCCGCGUGAGUGAAGAAGGUUGUCGGAUCGUAAAGCUCUGUUGUAAGAGAAGAACGGGUGUGAGAGUGGAAAGUUCACACUGUGACGGUAUCUUACCAGAAAGGAACGGCUAACUACGUG